Molecule: ribosomal RNA, 498 nt
Filed under: uncultured bacterium
Lineage: Bacteria
Description: partial 16S ribosomal RNA
Rfam family: Bacterial small subunit ribosomal RNA
Source: RNAcentral
ACGAACGCUGGCGGCGUGCCUAAUACAUGCACGUCGAGCGAAGUUUUUCUGGUGCUUGCACCGGAAAAACUUAGCGGCGAACGGGUGAGUAACACGUAAAGAACCUGCCUCAUAGACUGGGACAACUAUUGGAAACGAUAGCUAAUACCGGAUAAUAGCAUUAACUGCAUGGUUGAUGUUUAAAAGUUGGUUUUGCUAACACUAUGAGAUGGCUUUGCGGUGCAUUAGCUAGUUGGUGGGGUAAAGGCCUACCAAGGCGACGAUGCAUAGCCGACCUGAGAGGGUGAUCGGCCACACUGGGACUGAGACACGGCCCAGACUCCUACGGGAGGCAGCAGUAGGGAAUCUUCCGCAAUGGGCGAAAGCCUGACGGAGCAACGCCGCGUGAGUGAAGAAGGAUUUCGGUUCGUAAAGCUCUGUUGUUAGGGAAGAAUGAUUGUGUAGUAACUAUACACAGUAGAGACGGUACCUAACCAGAAAGCCACGGCUAACUACGUG